AUUCCAGCUCCAAUAGCGUAUAUUAAAGUUGUUGCAGUUAAAAAGCUCGUAGUUGAGCUUCAGGCUUGGUUGGGCGGUCCGCCUCACGGCGUGUACUGUCUGACUGGGUCUUACCUCUUGGUGAGCCAGCGUGGCCUUUAUUGGUUGCGUUGGGGAACCAGGACUUUUACCUUGAGAAAAUUAGAGUGUUCAAAGCAGGCCUAUGUCCGAAUACAUUAGCAUGGAAUAAUAAAAUAGGACGUGCGAUCCUAUUUUGUUGGUUUCUAGAGUCGCCGUAAUGAUUAAUAGGGAUAGUUGGGGGCAUUGGUAUUGAGUCGCUAGAGGUGAAAUUCUUGGAUUGACUCAAGACCAACUACUGCGAAAGCAUUUGCCAAGGAUGUUUUCAUUG
Molecule: ribosomal RNA, 388 nt
Filed under: Hymenopellis sp.
Lineage: Eukaryota; Fungi; Basidiomycota; Agaricomycetes; Agaricales; Physalacriaceae
Description: partial small subunit ribosomal RNA
Rfam family: Eukaryotic small subunit ribosomal RNA
Source: RNAcentral